Molecule: ribosomal RNA, 521 nt
Filed under: uncultured bacterium
Lineage: Bacteria
Description: bacterial SSU rRNA
Rfam family: Bacterial small subunit ribosomal RNA
Source: RNAcentral
AGAGUUUGAUCAUGGCUCAGGACGAACGCUGGCGGCGUGCUUAACACAUGUAAGUCGAACGGAGAGGCCCUUCGGGGUACUCGAGUGGCGAACGGGUGAGUAACACGUGGGUGAUCUGCCCUGCACUUCGGGAUAAGCCUGGGAAACUGGGUCUAGUACCGGAUACACCUCAUGGACUGCAUGGUCUGUGGGGGAAAGCUUUUGCGGUGUGGGAUGGGCCCGCGGCCUAUCAGCUUGUUGGUGGGGUGAUGGCCUACCAAGGCGACGACGGGUAGCCGGCCUGAGAGGGUGAUCAGCCACACUGGGACUGAGACACGGCCCAGACUCCUACGGGAGGCAGCAGCCAGGAAUCUUGGGCAAUGGGCGAAAGCCUGACCCAGCAACACCGUGUGGGUGAUGAAGGCCUUCGGGUCGUAAAGCCCUGUUGAUAGGGACGAAGGGCGAAGGGUUAAUAGCCCGGAGCUUGACGGUACCUUUCGAGGAAGCCCCGGCUAACUACGUGCCAGCAGCGGCGGUAAUUC